This 724-nucleotide ribosomal RNA is filed under the name uncultured bacterium. RNAcentral's name for it is "bacterial SSU rRNA". It matches the Rfam family "Bacterial small subunit ribosomal RNA", at positions 1 to 711 of the family's 1533-position model. The record is from RNAcentral.
AAUUCGAUUGAGUUUGAUCCUGGCUCAGGACGAACGCUGGCGGCGUGCCUAACACAUGCAAGUUGAGCGACUAACCAGGGCUUGCCCUGGGGCAAAGCAGCGAACGGGUGAGUAACACGUGGGUAACCUGCCGAGAUGACCGGGACAACCCGAGGAAACUCGGGCUAUACCGGAUGUGUUCACCACACAUCAGUGUGGUGAGGAAAGGAAGCUUCGGCCUCCGCAUCUCGAGGGGCCCGCGGCCCAUUAGCUUGUUGGCGAGGUAACGGCUCACCAAGGCAACGAUGGGUAGCUGGUCUGAGAGGACGAUCAGCCACACUGGGACUGAGACACGGCCCAGACUCCUACGGGAGGCAGCAGUGGGGAAUCUUGCGCAAUGCGCGAAAGCGUGACGCAGCAACGCCGCGUGUGGGAAGACGGCCUUCGGGUUGUAAACCACUUUCAGGAGGGACGAAGGGUCGGCCGCGAAUAGCGAGCCGGCUUGACGGUACCUUCAGAAGAAGCUCCGGCUAACUACGUGCCAGCAGCCGCGGUAAUACGUAGGGAGCAAGCGUUGUCCGGAAUAAUUGGGCGUAAAGCGCGCGUAGGCGGCUCGAUAAGUCUGUUGUGAAAGUCAAAGGCUCAACCUUUGAAUGCCGAUGGAUACUGUCGAGCUAGAGUCCGGAAGAGGCGAGUGGAAUUCCUGGUGCAGCGGUGGAAUGCGCAGAUAUCAGGAGGAACACCA